This 45-nucleotide non-coding RNA is filed under the name Trichobilharzia regenti. Lineage: Eukaryota; Metazoa; Platyhelminthes; Trematoda; Strigeidida; Schistosomatidae. The record is from RNAcentral.
AUCCGGAUGAUGAGUCCCUAAUAGGACGAAAUGCGCAUCCUGGAU